Molecule: ribosomal RNA, 806 nt
Filed under: uncultured bacterium
Lineage: Bacteria
Description: bacterial SSU rRNA
Rfam family: Bacterial small subunit ribosomal RNA
Source: RNAcentral
GAAACAUUGGCGGCUUGCUUACACAUGCAAGUCGACGAUGAACCACCUUCGGGUGGGGAUUAGUGGCGAACGGGUGAGUAACACGUGGGCAAUCUGCCCUGCACUCUGGGACAAGCCCUGGAAACGGGGUCUAAUACCGGAUACUGACCUGCCAAGGCAUCUUGGCGGGUCGAAAGCUCCGGCGGUGCAGGAUGAGCCCGCGGCCUAUCAGCUUGUUGGUGAGGUAAUGGCUCACCAAGGCGACGACGGGUAGCCGGCCUGAGAGGGCGACCGGCCACACUGGGACUGAGACACGGCCCAGACUCCUACGGGAGGCAGCAGUGGGGAAUAUUGCACAAUGGGCGCAAGCCUGAUGCAGCGACGCCGCGUGAGGGAUGACGGCCUUCGGGUUGUAAACCUCUUUCAGCAGGGAAGAAGCGAAAGUGACGGUACCUGCAGAAGAAGCGCCGGCUAACUACGUGCCAGCAGCCGCGGUAAUACGUAGGGCGCAAGCGUUGUCCGGAAUUAUUGGGCGUAAAGAGCUCGUAGGCGGCUUGUCGCGUCGGUUGUGAAAGCCCGGGGCUUAACCCCGGGUCUGCAGUCGAUACGGGCAGGCUAGAGUUCGGUAGGGGAGAUCGGAAUUCCUGGUGUAGCGGUGAAAUGCGCAGAUAUCAGGAGGAACACCGGUGGCGAAGGCGGAUCUCUGGGCCGAUACUGACGCUGAGGAGCGAAAGCGUGGGGAGCGAACAGGAUUAGAUACCCUGGUAGUCCACGCCGUAAACGGUGGGCACUAGGUGUGGGCAACAUUCCACGUUGUCCGUGCCGCA